GUGGGGAAUAUUGGACAAUGGGGGGAACCCUGAUCCAGCCAUGCCGCGUGUGUGAAGAAGGCCUUUUGGUUGUAAAGCACUUUAAGCGAGGAGGAGGCUACCGAGAUUAAUACUCUUGGAUAGUGGACGUUACUCGCAGAAUAAGCACCGGCUAACUCUGUGCCAGCAGCCGCGGUAAUACAGAGGGUGCAAGCGUUAAUCGGAUUUACUGGGCGUAAAGCGCGCGUAGGUGGCCAAUUAAGUCAAAUGUGAAAUCCCCGAGCUUAACUUGGGAAUUGCAUUCGAUACUGGUUGGCUAGAGUAUGGGAGAGGAUGGUAGAAUUCCAGGUGUAGCGGUGAAAUGCGUAGAUAUCUGGAGGAAUACCGAUGGCGAAGGCAGCCAUCUGGCCUAAUACUGACACUGAGGUGCGAAAGCAUGGGGAGCAAACAGGAUUAGAUACCCGGGUAGUCC
RNAcentral lists this ribosomal RNA (451 nucleotides) under uncultured bacterium. Its description in RNAcentral is "bacterial SSU rRNA". It matches the Rfam family "Bacterial small subunit ribosomal RNA", at positions 354 to 796 of the family's 1533-position model. The record is from RNAcentral.